AUACGUAGGGGGCGAGCGUUGUCCGGAAUGACUGGGCGUAAAGGGCGUGUAGGCGGGAAUGCAAGUCAGGUGUGAAAUCUAGGGGCUCAACCCCUAAACUGCACUUGAAACUGCGUUUCUUGAGUGUCGGAGAGGUUGACGGAAUUCCUAGUGUAGCGGUGAAAUGCGUAGAUAUUAGGAGGAACACCAGUGGCGAAGGCGGUCAACUGGACGAUAACGGACGCGGAGACGCGAAAGCGUGGGGAGCAAACAGGAUUAGAUCCCCUGGUAGUCCACGCCGUAAACGAUGAAUACUAGGUGUGGGGGGACUGACCCCCUCCGUGCCGCAGUUAACACAAUAAGUAUUCCCCCUGGGGAGUACGGCCGCAAGGUUGGAACUCAAAUGAAUUGACGGGA
This 396-nucleotide ribosomal RNA is filed under the name uncultured bacterium. Its description in RNAcentral is "partial 16S ribosomal RNA". It matches the Rfam family "Bacterial small subunit ribosomal RNA", at positions 523 to 918 of the family's 1533-position model. The record is from RNAcentral.